Molecule: long non-coding RNA, 1691 nt
Organism: Acanthopagrus latus (yellowfin seabream)
Lineage: Eukaryota; Metazoa; Chordata; Actinopteri; Spariformes; Sparidae
Exons: 3
Source: RefSeq, a predicted model, not a curated record
AUGUCCUUUGAGAAUGAAACCUUUCUGACACUCAUGGAGGCAGAAGUCCAUCAGGAUGAAAUGAACAAUUGGGUUGCCCCCUUGCCAUUUCAAUCCCCCUGUCUCCCACUCCCAAACAACAGGGAGUGAGCAUUGUCUGAGUUCUUGAACCUAGAACCUGGAGAUGCAGCAGAAGUUCACCUCCUUCAUGGAAAAGCUGUUCGAGAAUAAGCGUGCAGAGAGUGCAGUGAAUGCUGGUAUCUGCCCAUCACCCCCAGAAGCCAGGACAAAUACGAGUUGUAUUCGACUCAAACGCCCAGCAACACGGCGUAUCACUUAACCCAGUCUUGCUGACAGUGAGACCUGACCACAGAGACUAUCUGAGAUUCCUAUGGCAUAUAGAUAAUGACCUGUCCAAGGAAGUACAAGAGGAUUGUAUGCACGUCUUUGGCAAUAGUCCAUCCCCAGCGGUCAUGAUCUAUUGCCUCUGAAGAACAGCUCAAGAAGGGUCAAACCUGAACCUUCACAAAAUUGCAUCGAACAGUGUCGCUGUGAUGCAGUCCUUCAAACCUGAGAAACUGACUACAGGCAUCAGGGACUGAGGUCUUGACAAUGAGAUUCUGCCAACCCAGAGGAGCCUGGAAUUAUGCUGGGACAUAAAAACAGACACCUUUACUUCCAAAGUAGCUGUUGCCAACAAGCCAUGCACCCGUCAAGGGGUGCUUUCUAUCAUUAACAGCAUCUUUGAUUCAUUGGGUCUAGCAGCACCAGUGAUAGUUAGAGGUAGAUUAUUGUUGUGGGAGCUCUACAUUGGAGUUCAAGACUGGGAUGCUCCUCUUUCUGAUGAGAGAAUGAGCCAGUGAGAGGCUUGGAAAGCAACACUCCAGGAGUUAAGCUGUCUUCAGGUACCUUGCUGCUACGUACCAACAUGACUCUGAGCUAUGUGUCUUCUCUGAUGCCUCAAAUUGGGCCAUAGGCGAAGUAGCGUACAUACGAGCUGCCACUGAAGAAGGUCACUGUUGGAUUUGUGCUUUGGAAAGCAAAACUGGCACCACAGCCAGAUCUUCACAGCCACAGCCUCUUUAAUUUAAUAUAAUAAAAAAGGGAGUCCAUAAUUCAUGUAAUGUUAAAAAAUGCUAUCUACAUCUAAAAAAGUGAUAAUAUUACAUUGCUUUGCAUUAAUCCAUGAUGUACUCUUAUGUUGAAGGCUAAGGUAAGAGAUAUGUUAUGCAUUAUGGGAUAGAGACGAGUUGUUGUAAACAAGUAAAGCUCUGAUUAAUAUGAUGGAGGUUUUCCUUGUGUCUUAACCUUUGUCUAGACACUUUCAAAAGCAAUGGCUGUAAGUUAUAGUUAUAGUUAUAGUUUAAGUUAUAGUUUUUUAGCAUCUCAAAUUUAAGUGUCUUUUCUGUACAGAGGAAAAGUUCAUUUUUUUUGUGUACCUGUUUUGAUAGUAGCUAACUGACGUUAGCAUUAAUGCUAAUCUAGAAGUGUUUUAGCCUAAUGUUUGACUGUUAGCAUGCUAAAUAGGGUGUCAAGCCUUUUGUUACCACAUUAGCAUCAAUGACGUUCCUUUCAUUUUUGUAUAUGACAUUGGUGCCAUGUUGUAAUCUUAAUGGAUAACAUUACCACUUAUUGCUACCUGUGUUUGAGUCACUUAUUAACAGUUUUUAUGCUAAUGAGAGAUAUUUUCUCUCUCUUUUGUUUCUAUAACA